ACAGAACAAAGAAUGCAAGUACAGCAGCAACACAGCCAGGAGGGCAGCCCCAGAAUUGGGAGGCCAACAGUGCUACUGGGCUCAAGUGCUGUUAUAAGUGGUGCGGCUGAACAAGCUGGAAUAAUAGAAGCUGGAGAUGAAAUUCUUGCUAUUAAUGGGAAACCUCUGGUUGGGCUCAUGCACUUUGAUGCCUGGAAUAUUAUGAAGUCUGUCCCAGAAGGACCUGUGCAGUUAUUAAUUAGAAAGCAUAGGAAUUCUUCAUGAAUUUUAACAAGAAUCAUUUUCUCAGUUCUCUUCUUUCUUUAGCAAAUCAGAGUGACUUCUUUAAAUCACAGGUUGUUGAAAUGGCCAACACUGGUACAGACACGGACUGUAAAAAUCUCCAAGCUUGUGCUUACACAUGAAGCCUGACUUAACUGUAUGUGCAACAGCAAUGAAAUUAACUCCAGAAGCCUUCCACCUGCGUCACCCAGGCCGGGAGGGUUCCUUCGUUCCAGUGCCUGUCCCCUACCUUUAUGUUUACUGAUGGGGAUACAAGAUGUGACACACCCUUCUUUAUUUGAAACAAACACUUAGCUAGACCUUUGCUUCCUUCUUGCCAGCUCUCCCAACAUACCCAAUCCUGGUGAUCAGGGAACUAAAAGUCUGAGGGGGACACAAAUGUCACACCUAAGAGGACUAUCAAUCAUUUUGUAUGAUUUUGUAAGUAAGUAAAUGACAGAAUGCUUUUAGGCACAUUCAAUGGAAGGAGGCGAUGUAGGUCUGUAUAUGUUACCCUGAAAAGAGAAUAAGACUUAAAAAAAAUGAAUUAUGACCUGUUAGGCUGAGCUCAGGAAUUGUCCAAAAAGGAAAAAGCAAAAUAAUUAUUAAUAGAGAGUAUUUUUUAGUGAGUGUA
This 895-nucleotide small RNA is filed under the name Pan troglodytes (chimpanzee). RNAcentral's name for it is "processed transcript". Lineage: Eukaryota; Metazoa; Chordata; Mammalia; Primates; Hominidae. The record is from RNAcentral.